RNAcentral lists this long non-coding RNA (1059 nucleotides) under Linum usitatissimum (flax). RNAcentral's name for it is "long non-coding RNA (LUSI_LNC006138)". Lineage: Eukaryota; Viridiplantae; Streptophyta; Magnoliopsida; Malpighiales; Linaceae. The record is from RNAcentral.
GAAACAGCUCACAAUGUCAUAUAUGACUUAUUGAUUUUACAUAGUACAAUACACCAUACCAAAAGUCCAGAUGGACACAUAUACAUAUAAAACAGAAGUCUCGAGCUUCACAGGCUCGGACCGGAGUACUUAUACUUGCCCGUAUGGCCACUAUAGUUUAAAAAACCAUAUCUCACAUUUUACUAGUACACAACCACUCAUAACAUAUGCACAUGAUGAGAGUAAGAGGCUCAAACGAGUUUUAAAACACAAAACGAGGAUCAAGACACAAUCUUCCAUAUCUACCUGGCGCCGUCACCAGGACGGCCAACCCCGGAGCCCGAUUAUACCAUUUUGUAGAUUUGCAGUGUGUGAACCAGUAAAGUAUAUUGUCGCUCUGAAAUUGAAAGUAAGGGUUAGUGCUAGUCACUGAGUGAGGAUCUAUGUCCUAGUCACUCUAAGGUACAAAUAAUCAUAUAGAAAAUAUACAACAUAUAACACAUAAGGCUAAUUCUAUAAUCUAAUUUAUAUCCAUAUUUUAUUUGGGAUCCCGGCUCACAUAUGCUGACGACCCACGUAGAGUUAGUGGCACUAAAAUGGCCCACGUAGAGUUAGUGUGGUGCUUAUCAAAGCCCACAGCAUUAGUUAGUUGUGGCGCUUACCAAGGCCCAUGGCGUAACAGAAGUGCAAUAAGCACAAUCGCCAGCAUACGGGCCCUAACUAGGUGAUCAAUCAAUUACCAGAUUUAUUUAAUAAUCAGUAAUAGCUACAGCUCAUAUUAACACAUAUAUUGAAUCAGAUAUAUCAGCAAAGUAACAAAACAUGUAUCAUAUUAAGUAAUAAAUAUGGUAAAGAAGCAUAUAAAAUCUUAAGAUUAAAUGGACAUUACCCUAUCAUGCAUAUAGCCUUAAUAAUAAUAAUAAACUCAUAAUGGAACGUCUAACCCGGUCGGAUACGCAGGAGACCCUCACCAGAAAUAAUCCUCAAAAACCCCGAUAUCAGCUUCCGAGUUACGACCUUAAUUCCGACAACAGAGUGUUACUGCUAAUUCCUCCAAGUCUCAUUUAUGUAGGAAACUAC